GACGAACGCUGGCGGCGUGCCUAAUACAUGCAAGUCGAGCGAACGGACGAGAAGCUUGCUUCUCUGAUGUUAGCGGCGGACGGGUGAGUAACACGUGGAUAACCUACCUAUAAGACUGGGAUAACUUCGGGAAACCGGAGCUAAUACCGGAUAAUAUUUUGAACCGCAUGGUUCAAAAGUGAAAGACGGUCUUGCUGUCACUUAUAGAUGGAUCCGCGCUGCAUUAGCUAGUUGGUAAGGUAACGGCUUACCAAGGCAACGAUGCAUAGCCGACCUGAGAGGGUGAUCGGCCACACUGGAACUGAGACACGGUCCAGACUCCUACGGGAGGCAGCAGUAGGGGAUCUUCCGCAAUGGGCGAAAGCCUGACGGAGCAACGCCGCGUGAGUGAUGAAGGUCUUCGGAUCGUAAAACUCUGUUAUUAGGGAAGAACAUAUGUGUAAGUAACUGUGCACAUCUUGACGGUACCUAAUCAGAAAGCCACGGCUAACUACGUGCCAGCAGCCGCGGUAAUACGUAGGUGGCAAGCGUUAUCCGGAAAUAUUGGGCGUNAAGCGCGCGUAAGCAGUUUUUUAAGUCUGAUGUGAAAGCCCACGGCUCACCCGUGGAGGGUCAUUGGAAACUGGAAAACUUGAGUGCAGAAGAGGAAAGUGGAAUUCCAUGUGUAGCGGUGAAAUGCGCAGAGAUAUGGAGGAACACCAGUGGCGAAGGCGACUUUCUGGUCUGUAACUGACGCUGAUGUGCGAAAGCGUGGGGAUCAAACAGGAUUAGAUACCCUGGUAGUCCACGCCGUAAACGAUGAGUGCUAAGUGUUAGGGGGUUUCCGCCCCUUAGUGCUGCAGCUAACGCAUUAAGCACUCCGCCUGGGGAGUACGACCGCAAGGUUGAAACUCAAAGGAAUUGACGGGGACCCGCACAAGCAGUGGAGCAUGUGGUUUAAUUCGAAGCAACGCGAGGAACCUUACCAAAUCUUGACAUCCUUUGACAACUCUAGAGAUAGAGCCUUCCCCUUCGGGGGACAAAGUGACAGGUGGUGCAUGGUUGUCGUCAGCUCGUGUCGUGAGAUGUUGGGUUAAGUCCCGCAACGAGCGCAACCCUUAAGCUUAGUUGCCAUCAUUAAGUUGGGCACUCUAAGUUGACUGCCGGUGACAAACCGGAGGAAGGUGGGGAUGACGUCAAAUCAUCAUGCCCCUUAUGAUUUGGGCUACACACGUGCUACAAUGGACAAUACAAAGGGCAGCGAAACCGCGAGGUCAAGCAAAUCCCAUAAAGUUGUUCUCAGUUCGGAUUGUAGUCUGCAACUCGACUACAUGAAGCUGGAAUCGCUAGUAAUCGUAGAUCAGCAUGCUACGGUGAAUACGUUCCCGGGUCU
RNAcentral lists this ribosomal RNA (1372 nucleotides) under uncultured bacterium. Its description in RNAcentral is "bacterial SSU rRNA". It matches the Rfam family "Bacterial small subunit ribosomal RNA", at positions 28 to 1381 of the family's 1533-position model. The record is from RNAcentral.